UAUGGCGGAUAAGGAUGAGCGUGCGCAAGAUUAGCUAGUUGGUGAGGUAACGGCUCACCAAGGCGACGAUCUUUAGCUGAUGUGAGAGCAUGAUCAGCCACACGGGCACUGAGACACGGGCCCGACUCCUACGGGAGGCAGCAGUGAGGAAUAUUGGUCAAUGGACGGAAGUCUGAACCAGCCAUGCCGCGUGAAGGAUGAAGGCGUUCUGCGUUGUAAACUCUUUAUUUAGGAAGAAACCACCGAUUUCUAUUGGUGUUGACGGUAUUAAAUGAAUAAGCACCGGCUAACUCCGUG
This 297-nucleotide ribosomal RNA is filed under the name uncultured bacterium. RNAcentral's name for it is "partial 16S ribosomal RNA". It matches the Rfam family "Bacterial small subunit ribosomal RNA", at positions 211 to 507 of the family's 1533-position model. The record is from RNAcentral.